Molecule: ribosomal RNA, 764 nt
Filed under: Microsporidium sp. PCN16
Lineage: Eukaryota; Fungi; Microsporidia
Description: SSU rRNA
Rfam family: Microsporidia small subunit ribosomal RNA
Source: RNAcentral
GGGAGCUGCGGACUGCUCAGUAACAGGCGAUUAAUUUAAUCUUUACAAACGGACAAACUCAGGAAACGGAGUGUAAUACGUAAAAGAUGUUUUUUUAAAAAAUUACAAAGAAAACAUUUUUAGCUUGAAUAAAGCGGUAAAGAAUAAGACGCCAACCCAUCAGUUAGUAAGUAGGGUAAGGGCCUAUUUAGACGAAUACGGGUACGGGGAAUUAGGGUUUGAUUCCGGAGAGGGAGCCUGAGAGACGGCUACCAGGUCCAAGGACGGCAGCAGGCGCGAAAAUUACCGAAGCUCAAAUAGAGGCGGUAGUAAUGAGACGUAUAUAUAAUAAUAUAAGGGUAAAAAACUUAUUAAUAACUGGAGGUCAAGUCUGGUGCCAGCAUCCGCGGUAAUACCAGCUCCAGGGGUGUCUAUGAUGAUUGCUGCGAUUAAAAGGUCCGUAGUCGAAUUUAAAUAAUUGUUUGUAAUAUGUUAGAUAAAAUAAUAAAAAGAACAAUUACUUAAAUGAAAGGAAUAACAAGAGGUUGAUUAAUUGAGUAACGAGAGGUGAAAUUUGAUGACUUACUUAGGAGAAACAGAGGCGAAAGCGUCAAUCAAGUGUAAAUCCGAUGAUCAAGGACGUAGGCUGGAGUAUCGAACACGAUUAGAUACCGUAGUAGUUCCAGCAGUAAACUAUGCCUACGCCAAUAAAUAAAAGUUUAAUGGACGAGAAAUCUAGAGUAGGGCUUUGGGGAGAGUACACGCGCAAGCGAUAAAUUUAAAGG